Molecule: ribosomal RNA, 193 nt
Filed under: uncultured Pseudomonadales bacterium
Lineage: Bacteria; Pseudomonadati; Pseudomonadota; Gammaproteobacteria; Pseudomonadales
Description: partial 16S ribosomal RNA
Rfam family: Bacterial small subunit ribosomal RNA
Source: RNAcentral
GGGGACAACGUUCCGAAAGGGGCGCUAAUACCGCAUACGUCCUACGGGAGAAAGCAGGGGACCUUCGGGCCUUGCGCUAAUAGAUGAGCCUAAGUCGGAUUAGCUAGUUGGUAGGGUAAAGGCCUACCAAGGCGACGAUCUGUAGCGGGUCUGAGAGGAUGAUCCGCCACACUGGGACUGAGACACGGCCCAG